This 76-nucleotide transfer RNA is filed under the name Paenibacillus monticola. Its description in RNAcentral is "Paenibacillus sp. LC-T2 tRNA-Ala". It matches the Rfam family "tRNA". Rfam says of the family: Transfer RNA (tRNA) molecules are approximately 80 nucleotides in length. Their secondary structure includes four short double-helical elements and three loops (D, anti-codon, and T loops). Further hydrogen bonds mediate the characteristic L-shaped molecular structure. tRNAs have two regions of fundamental functional importance: the anti-codon, which is responsible for specific mRNA codon recognition, and the 3' end, to which the tRNAs corresponding amino acid is attached (by aminoacyl-tRNA synthetases). tRNAs cope with the degeneracy of the genetic code in two manners: having more than one tRNA (with a specific anti-codon) for a particular amino acid; and 'wobble' base-pairing, i.e. permitting non-standard base-pairing at the 3rd anti-codon position. Lineage: Bacteria; Bacillati; Bacillota; Bacilli; Caryophanales; Paenibacillaceae. The record is from RNAcentral.
GGGGAUUUAGAUCGAUUGGGAGAGCGCAUUGCUGGCAGCGAUGAGGUCAGGGGUUCGAUCCCCCUAUUCUCCACCA